GAAUCUGGGACAGUUACAGAUAAAUGCUGCUUCUUGCUAGGAAGCUAAAGGGGUGGAAUCGGUUUUGGUGCAGGCAAAGUAUGUGCUGGGAUUUGAUGCUAAGUAAGGGGAUAUUCAAAGGCCAGGACAAGCAAGAACAAAAUUGGAGGACACCAAGGACUGAGAAACUAUAUUUAUACUUGUUUUGUAGUGAGAUUCCACUCCCCUGGCCGGGCUCUGAAUCCUGUGUUUCAUGGCCCAGUGUCUCAUCCAGUCCUGCCUUCAUUUGACAGGGUUGCCAGAGGCCGGCAGCAAGAGGUACCUGAUACACACAAAGGCAGGUUCUCUUGUAAAUCCUAUUCUGUUAUUGGGCUUAAUUUCAGGGACAAAAAUUGUAUUGUUCAGGUUCAAAAAAUGCCUGAAAAAGUGCUAACUAUUUAGCAGCCAUGUGGAUCUUGAACAAGUCAAUGCAGUUCUCUGUACUUAGAGCUGUUGCCAAAACACUGUGGGUGGGGUAUGCAAAAUUGGCUGGGCUUUAUUCUUCUUCACAAGAAGCAAAAGGUUUUUUUCCAUCUCAAAGCAAUUCACACAUUUGAGUAACAUACAAAUAGUUUUAUUGAUUAAGUACUGUAGAACAGACAGCAUUAGUCAGAAGAUAACAUGCGGACAAAUGUUUGCAUUUAAACAUAGCAUGCAGACUUGUUGCUCUGUGACUAGCAGGCUAGCACCACCUGCUGUCCCAUGUGCAGGCAGGUUUGGGAGGUGAAAGAGCAGGGCCUUUCCCCAGCUGAACAUACUAGCACCACAGUGCUUCCUUUUGAGUCAGGAGUGGAGUGAUUGGGACAGUGCUGGUAGCUUCCUGGGUUCUGGAGGGCUGGCAAAUGAGGAUCUCUGAACACAUUUUGCUAAAAAUUGCACUUGCUUUCUCUUAACCUGAAAGUGAGGGAAUGUUAAGGCAGGAGAUGCUCAUCUGCCUGCAAGCACACCAUGUCAGGAUUCGACAAUCCCUUUCCACCCAGUCUUAACAUUAGCAAGUAGAAAAAAUAUAUUUUCAUCUCUUAAAAAUACAUUCCACACAAUCUGAAGGAUUCUCAAGUGUUUACAAAUGGCAGGAAGACCGGCGUGCCUUCCCCCUUGUGCAGACGUGGAAGGAGUAGACUGUACUCCCAACAGCCACAGAAAGGUUGAGCAAAUCCUUUGGUCUCUAGCCAAGAGGAAAGAGAAAGGGGAGGAAGGAUGUGGGCCCUGCACUGCAGUACCUUCACCACUUUAUCCCUCUUUGGAUAUAAUGUUGGGGUUUCAACUGAAGCAGCAAGAUCUUUUGUGGGGUUGUCUUCCACUGAUGCCCUGGGUAGAGGGGUGGCAUCAUGUAAGCCUCUCUCAUCUCAUAUACACAUUUUGAGAAGGGGAAAUGUCAGUUCCAAAGAGCCUGUGAGACAAUAAUAAAUGUCCUGGCUGCUUGCAUACGUAAGGGUCCCUUCUGACAAAUCUAUGGCUAAAACUCUACGUUCUUGGCACUCUUGACAUCUUGUCGUAAAACCAGAGAUGCACUAAUGGCCUGAGGAAGUAUGGCGUUACCUUACACUGGGCUGGCCUACCCAAGUAUUGUCAAUGGACUGGCUCUCUCUUUCAAGGCCUUGUGAAUCCAGGACUGUCUGCAUGCAAAUCAUCUGCUCUACCACUGAGCUAUGGUCUCUCUCUGGCUUUUCAUCGGAGAAGCGGUUCUGCUUUUUGCAAUGAAGGGAGGUGAAGGAGCAGAUCUUACUAGGCUAUGCAACAUUGUGCGGGCUGUACACAAGGGCAAUUCUGACCUCCAGUUGGAAGAAGUUGCUUUUUUUUGUUUCUCGACAUAAAAAGGAAUAAUCACAUGCAGCACAUAUAAUUACAACACUGGAAUUGUUUUUUUGUUUUGUUUUUUUUACACACAAAUUUUCAGCAUUAGAAAGUCCCUGGGGGAUUCCUACUGUAUUUAUAUGCUACAGUUAAAACAAAAAUUAACUUGCCAAAAUGCUGGCAAAUAUUUACAAAUACACUUUACAGCUGUUUAUUUUUAAAGUGUGCAACUUGAGCCAAACAGUCUCUUGUUUCCUGAACUCACCACUGCUAGUUCAAUAAUACAAUCAGCUCCUAUUGCACUCAGGGUUAAGGUCUCCUUAGGGUUUUGUCAUCCUUUUUUAUGGGGCCAUCAAUAAAAUAACCCCCAACCGAUACUGUAACGGAUAUUUACAUUCAUUCCUUAUGUUUAGUGAAAUGUAAGACUAUCAACAGACCCCAGGCCUGAAAAAAAUAAAGGGGGGGGGGUUCCUCUGCCCUGAAGCAAUAAACUAGCUAAAAUAACUCAGGGCAAAUUCAUUUCUCUUUUACGGGGAGGUGGGGAAUCCAUAACGUGCCUUCAGAAAGGAGGCAGCAACCUCAUCCAUCAAGCCCUAUUGCCGAAGCUGAGGCAGAUUCCUUGGUUAAGCAAGGCCAGGUGUUACUGUUAUAAAAGCUUCCUAUCUAAUCUGAAGGGGGGGGACUUGUAUUCUUCCUCUUCCCAGCUGCUCAAGUAUGUUCUAGGAAUGUGGAACCUGUGGCCUUCCAGCAAUAGUUGACUUGCAACUCCCAUCAGCCCCACCCAGGAUGGUGGUCAAACUCUAGCUGGAGGGCUCACAUGCUCCCCAUCUAGGGAACAAAGGCCUAAGUCACAGAUAACUGGUUCCUUUAAGUUUUCCCUUUUUGUAAAAAUCUGGACUGCCACUGGGUCAUUUCUUCCCCAGCAAAGAUGAGGAGGACUUUGCUAUGUCCACUUGGCAAGGGAAAGGUAUCAGUGCAGCUUUCAGAGGUGCUAUCAGCCUAGGAACAAGGGACACUUGCCCUCAUCCUUCUGUGUCUGGCUCAAAUGCCAAACCCUUUAUUCUUGGGUGACUUUUACUGGGACCCAGAUACCUAGCUUUCUGACCCUGAGCACUCAGUCCUGGAGAAAGCGUCGUUCAGAACGAUCUUUUGCGCCAGUGCGUGUAGGGUUAAACUUGUGAACGCGUUAGUCAUGCAGAGAAUAGUUUCAAAUUCAAGUGAAUAAUCUCUAGCUCUUAAUGGUAAAUGGAGUGCUCAGAGGGGGUGGAGCAUUUUCCAGAUCCUGUGAGAAGUUUGCAGUGUUGAAUGCGGACAAGCCAGCUUUCCAACAGGGAAAAAAAUUUACCUGGGUUGUCGUUUGCAUGGUGGGGCUUCUUUUGCACCAGAAAAUCAGGCAGGGCGUUCUAAGGGCACUCAAAGUGUCACUGCUUUGAACAGGCACAAUAAAAAUGGCUCCAAUUUCAUCAUGCAGAGGAGGGGCAAUGUCCAUUAAGGCUGCAUUCCUAAGUAUAAUUACAGACAAACAAGUCCAAGAGGAACUUAUUUUCAUAUAAAUAAGUUUCAGUAAGGGGCUAUUUUAUCAAUGAACUAGUGGUCUUGGAGCUGGUGCAUGUCACAGGAAAUUCUAGGCAUUUAUGACCCAGCCAAACAAACGGCUCAGAUAGCAACACCCCCCUCCCCGUUGGUUGGUGGCUUGCUUUAAUUUUCAAGUAGGCUGAGAUCCAACAUCAGUGUUGAAUCGAACUUUUCAGGUGCUAAAGUGCUUUCUUGAAUCAACUACGACAUGGCUUUAAUUUUUUUAUUUUUUUUUUUAGCAAAAACAAUCACCAUCCUACUUUGGAUUAAAUCACAGCCCCCCGUUGAACACUAGACAGGCACCAUCUGAGCAUAACGGGGUGCGUCAAUUCAAAAUGGCUGCUUACAGAUCAGUUAUUGCUGAGACCUUUAUGUAAACAGACUACCCAUCAAUGGAAGCAAGCUAAAAUCUGUGAAUUGGCCCCCGGUGAGAGGCCUGUAAUUGGUGAAUGAAAGUGGGACCACAGAUAUGCUGUGAUUACAUCACAAAGAGACGGAAGCAUGAAACACAAGGUUCUAGACCUCAACACUGAAAAUAUGCGUGAAAGAGCGUGGGCAAUACUUGAGAUGAUCUCACUGUUUGGCUGCUGUGCCUUCCCCAGUCCACUGACCAGCGGGAGAGCACGUGAAAAUGUGAAUGAUGCAUACAAGUUGCAGAAGUUAACUUUUGUUAGCACAGUUCGGGUAAUAAUUAUUUUUAAAAGAUGGUGCACACCCUUCUGCUCACCUCUGUGAGAAAUCGGUACGUAACAAUGGUGCCUUUCAUGGCACUGUUAGCCAAACUCAGGGGCAUGUAAACUUAUUCUUAGAACACUCAUGCUUCAAGGUGAAGCUUGUGAACACUUUUAACCACUUGGUCCGAUAAAUGGCACCAUUGUCCGCAUUCUGUGCCUCUCACAUCUGAAUCAGUUAAAAUACGUUUUUUAAAACCUUUGGCUGAAUUAAAAACUGUUGGGUAAAGGAUAGAGUAGGAACCACAGCAAACCUCAGUUAUUUCUAAAGGUUCACAAUGUGUGUGGUUUUUUUUUUUAAAAAAGGCAAAGUAGUGAAUUCGGGGUGUUUUUUCCUAAGCCAGGUUUUCCAUCUGAAACCCUGGAAGCCUAGCCUGAUGCUCUUGGCUUUUCAACAGAGUCGCAGGCCUCACCUAACUGUGCAUGUGUGAACUCUGGGCAGAAUGAAUGGACUUCAUGCACCAAACCCAUGUGGCGUUGCAUUGCUAAUGCACAUUAAACUCUAUCUAACUU
Molecule: non-coding RNA, 4631 nt
Organism: Podarcis lilfordi (Lilford's wall lizard)
Lineage: Eukaryota; Metazoa; Chordata; Lepidosauria; Squamata; Lacertidae
Source: the annotation of a GenBank genome assembly